RNAcentral lists this ribosomal RNA (461 nucleotides) under uncultured soil bacterium. Its description in RNAcentral is "bacterial SSU rRNA". It matches the Rfam family "Bacterial small subunit ribosomal RNA", at positions 8 to 462 of the family's 1533-position model. The record is from RNAcentral.
AGAGUUUGAUCCUGGCUCAGAACGAACGUUGGCGGCGUGGAUUAGGCAUGCAAGUCGGAUGAAUCCUCUUGAUGUAGCAAUACAUCGAGGGGGGAAAUGGCGAAAGGGGCAGUAAUGCAUGGGUAACGUACCCCGGGGUCGUGGAUAGCCUUCCUAACGGAUGGGUAAUACACGGCGAUUCAGCGAGCCGGCAUCGGUUUGCUGGGAAAGAUUCCGCCUCGGGAGCGGCUCAUGUCAUAUUAGCUAGUUGGUGAGGUAACGGCUCACCAAGGCGAAGAUGCGUAGCGGGUGUGAGAGCACGACCCGCGCCACUGGCACUGAGACACUGGCCAGACACCUACGGGUGGCUGCAGUCGAGGAUCUUCGGCAAUGGGCGCAAGCCUGACCGAGCGACGCCGCGUGAAGGAUGAAGGCCUUCGGGUUGUAAACUUCUGUCGAGGGGGAUCAAGGGCAACUUGAGU